Molecule: long non-coding RNA, 596 nt
Filed under: Homo sapiens (human)
Lineage: Eukaryota; Metazoa; Chordata; Mammalia; Primates; Hominidae
Description: methionine sulfoxide reductase A (ENSG00000285250.2)
Source: RNAcentral
AAAAGAGGCAGGAAAGACUUAAGGAGGAGGAUGGAGUCUUAAGGAGUGAAACUUGAACUUCACGCUGGGUUUGCUGACCUUGAACAUGCUGGAUUCUGCUUACAGAAUUUGACAGCUGCUUCAUAUCUUUGGUUUUACUUUUCCUCUUUGUUAUUCUCUUGGCAAUUAGAAGAACCGAAGAGGCCAGAGUCCUCCGAAGACGCCUGCUUGGAAGUUGAGAUGCUGUUGCUGAAACUGCUAGAAUGCCAGGCAUGCUAUCACCUGCAGCUUUGAGACGUCACGCUGACAGUAUCACAGGAAAACAGCCUUUUGUGGGCCGUCCUCUGUGUGUUCACACCGUGUCGUUUUUAAGCUUUAAAGGAAACUGACAAAAGCUUCUUUUCUCUCUGUCUUGAGCUUCACUGCGUAUUCUUAACCAUGUGGAGCUGGGAGCUAACGCAUCACAGCCAACUGUAUCUGGAGUGCAUUUGCUCAUAUAGCCCUUAUUUUAUUUUUUAGUCUUAUUUUUAGUUUCCUUUGAAUAUAAUAAUAAAAAAAAAAAACCCAAUCAUUGAAUUCUUAGCUUCAGCCAAUAUAGUGUGAGGUUAGACAUAUUG